CCUACGGGAGGCAGCAGUGGGGGAUAUUGCACAAUGGGGGAAACCCUGAUGCAGCGACGCCGCGUGUAGGAAGACGGUCCUCUGGAUUGUAAACUACUGUCCCCAGGGACGAAGAUGACGGUACCUGGGGAGGAAGCUACGGCUAACUACGUGCCAGCAGCCGCGGUAAUACGAAGGGAGCGAGCGUUGUCCGGAAUUACUGGGUGGAAAGGGAGCGUAGGCGGGGAUGCAAGUUGGGUGUUAAAUCUACCGGCUCAACUGGUAGUCGCACUCAAAACUGCAGCUCUUGAGUGAAGUAGAGGCAGGCGGAAUUCCUAGUGUAGCGGUGAAAUGCGUAGAUAUUAGGAGGAACACCAGUGGCGAAGGCGGCCUGCUGGGCUUUUACUGACGCUGAGGCUCGAAAGUGUGGGGAGCAAACAGGAUUAGAUACCCUAGUAGUC
This 440-nucleotide ribosomal RNA is filed under the name uncultured bacterium. Its description in RNAcentral is "partial 16S ribosomal RNA". It matches the Rfam family "Bacterial small subunit ribosomal RNA", at positions 338 to 795 of the family's 1533-position model. The record is from RNAcentral.